UACGUAGGGUGCGAGCGUUGUCCGGAAUUAUUGGGCGUAAAGGGCUCGUAGGCGGUUUGUCGCGUCGGGAGUGAAAACACCGGGCUUAACUCGGUGCUUGCUUUCGAUACGGGCAGACUAGAGGCAUGCAGGGGAGAACGGAAUUCCUGGUGUAGCGGUGGAAUGCGCAGAUAUCAGGAGGAACACCGGUGGCGAAGGCGGGUCUCUGGGCAGUAAUUGACGCUGAGGAGCGAAAGCAUGGGGAGCGAACAGG
RNAcentral lists this ribosomal RNA (253 nucleotides) under uncultured bacterium. RNAcentral's name for it is "partial 16S ribosomal RNA". It matches the Rfam family "Bacterial small subunit ribosomal RNA", at positions 524 to 776 of the family's 1533-position model. The record is from RNAcentral.